This 491-nucleotide ribosomal RNA is filed under the name uncultured bacterium. RNAcentral describes it as "bacterial SSU rRNA". It matches the Rfam family "Bacterial small subunit ribosomal RNA", at positions 99 to 604 of the family's 1533-position model. The record is from RNAcentral.
CGGACGGGUGAGUAACGCGUGAGGAACCUGCCUCGGAGUGGGGAAUAACACAACGAAAGCUGUGCUAAUACCGCAUGAUACAGUUGGGUCGCAUGACUCUGACUGUCAAAGAUUUAUCGCUCUGAGAUGGCCUCGCGUCUGAUUAGCUAGUUGGCGGGGUAACGGCCCACCAAGGCGACGAUCAGUAGCCGGACUGAGAGGUUGACCGGCCACAUUGGGACUGAGACACGGCCCAGACUCCUACGGGAGGCAGCAGUGGGGAAUAUUGGGCAAUGGGCGCAAGCCUGACCCAGCAACGCCGCGUGAAGGAAGAAGGCUUUCGGGUUGUAAACUUCUUUUCUCAGGGACGAAGCAAGUGACGGUACCUGAGGAAUAAGCCACGGCUAACUACGUGCCAGCAGCCGCGGUAAUACGUAGGUGGCAAGCGUUAUCCGGAUUUACUGGGUGUAAAGGGCGUGUAGGCGGGAUCGCAAGUCAGAUGUGAAAACUGG